UACGUAGGCAGCAAGCGUUGUUCGGAAUUACUGGGCGUAAAGAGUGUGUAGGCGGUGCUCUAAGUCUGUCGCGAAAUCUCCCGGCUUAACUGGGAGGGUGCGGCGGAUACUAUUGUGCUAGAGGGUGGGAGAGGUAAGCGGAAUUCCUGGUGUAGCGGUGAAAUGCGUAGAUAUCAGGAGGAACACCUGCGGUGUAGACAGCUUACUGGACCACUUCUGACGCUGAGACACGAAAGCGUGGGUAGCAAACAGG
RNAcentral lists this ribosomal RNA (253 nucleotides) under uncultured bacterium. RNAcentral describes it as "partial 16S ribosomal RNA". It matches the Rfam family "Bacterial small subunit ribosomal RNA", at positions 524 to 776 of the family's 1533-position model. The record is from RNAcentral.